GCAAAACUAGCGGAUGAGCUGUGGAUAGGGGUGAAAGGCUAAACAAACUUGGAAAUAGCUGGUUCUCUCCGAAAACUAUUUAGGUAGUGCCUCAAGUAUUACCGGCGGGGGUAGAGCACUGUUUUGGCUAGGGGGUCAUGGCGACUUACCAAACCAAGGCAAACUCCGAAUACCGCAGAGUACAGCUUGGGAGACAGAGCACCGGGUGCUAACGUCCGGACUCAAGAGGGAAACAACCCAGACCGCCAGCUAAGGUCCCUAAAAUUGGCUAAGUGGGAAACGAAGUGCAAGGCAUAGACAGUCAGGAGGUUGGCUUAGAAGCAGCCACCCUUUAAAGAAAGCGUAAUAGCUCACUGAUCGAGUCGUCCUGCGCGGAAGAUGUAACGGGGCUAAGCCAGUUACCGAAGCUGCGGAUUCACAGUUUACUGUGAGUGGUAGGAGAGCGUUCUGUAAGCCUGCGAAGGUGUCUGGUGACGGAUGCUGGAGGUAUCAGAAGUGCGAAUGCUGACAUGAGUAGCGUUAAAGCGGGUGAAAAGCCCGCUCGCCGUAAGCGCAAGGUUUCCUACGCAACGUUCAUCGGCGUAGGGUGAGUCGGCCCCUAAGGCGAGGCAGAGAUGCGUAGCUGAUGGGAAACAGGUCAAUAUUCCUGUACCGCUCUUAGAUGCGAUGGGGGGACGGAGAAGGUUAGCUCGGCCAUCUGUUGGAAUAGGUGGUUUAAGCGUGUAGUCGUGCCUGGUAGGCAAAUCCGCCGGGCUGAGAUGAGGCGUGAUGACGAGGCUCUUCGGAGCCGAAGCGAGUGAUACCCAGCUUCCAGGAAAAGCCUCUAAGCUUCAGUCUAAGAGUGACCGUACCGCAAACCGACACAGGUGGGCUGGUAGAGAAUACCAAGGCGCUUGAGAGAACUCAGGAGAAGGAACUCGGCAAAUUGAUACCGUAACUUCGGGAGAAGGUAUGCCUUUGUAGCUUGUAGAUGAACAAUCGAAGGGCGAAGAGGCCGCAGAGAAUCGGUGGCUGCGACUGUUUAUUAAAAACACAGCACUCUGCAAACACGAAAGUGGACGUAUAGGGUGUGACACCUGCCCGGUGCCGGAAGGUUAAUUGAUGGGGUUAGCGCAAGCGAAGCUCUUGAUCGAAGCCCCGGUAAACGGCGGCCGUAACAAUAACGGUCCUAAGGUAGCGAAAUUCCUUGUCGGGUAAGUUCCGACCUGCACGAAUGGCGUAACGAC
This 1226-nucleotide ribosomal RNA is filed under the name Bos indicus (zebu cattle). Its description in RNAcentral is "bacterial LSU rRNA". It matches the Rfam family "Bacterial large subunit ribosomal RNA", at positions 791 to 2008 of the family's 2925-position model. The record is from RNAcentral. Lineage: Eukaryota; Metazoa; Chordata; Mammalia; Artiodactyla; Bovidae.